GUCCAGACUCCUACGGGAGGCAGCAGUGGGGAAUAUUGCACAAUGGGGGAAACCCUGAUGCAGCGACGCCGCGUGAGUGAAGAAGUAUUUCGGUAUGUAAAGCUCUAUCAGCAGGGAAGAUAAUGACGGUACCUGGCUAAGAAGCCCCGGCUAACUACGUGCCAGCAGCCGCGGUAAUACGUAGGGGGCAAGCGUUAUCCGGAUUUACUGGGUGUAAAGGGAGCGUAGGUGGCAGGGCAAGUCAGAUGUGAAAACCCGGGGCUCAACCCCGGGAGUGCAUUUGAAACUGUCCAGCUGGAGUGCAGGAGAGGUAAGCGGAAUUCCUAGUGUAGCGGUGAAAUGCGUAGAUAUUAGGAAGAACACCAGUGGCGAAGGCGACUUUCUGGACUGAAACUGACGCUGAGGCUCGAAAGCGUGGGGAGCGAACAGGAUUAGAUACCCCUGUA
RNAcentral lists this ribosomal RNA (446 nucleotides) under uncultured bacterium. RNAcentral's name for it is "bacterial SSU rRNA". It matches the Rfam family "Bacterial small subunit ribosomal RNA", at positions 329 to 792 of the family's 1533-position model. The record is from RNAcentral.